RNAcentral lists this ribosomal RNA (429 nucleotides) under Acidobacteriota bacterium. RNAcentral describes it as "Acidobacteria bacterium partial 16S ribosomal RNA". It matches the Rfam family "Bacterial small subunit ribosomal RNA", at positions 355 to 776 of the family's 1533-position model. Lineage: Bacteria; Pseudomonadati; Acidobacteriota. The record is from RNAcentral.
UGGGGAAUUUUGGACAAUGGGGGAAACCCUGAUCCAGCCAUCCCGCGUGUGCGAUGAAGGCUUUCGGGUUGUAAAGCACUUUUGGCAGGAAAGAAACGUCAUGGGUUAAUACCCCGUGAAACUGACGGUACCUGCAGAAUAAGCACCGGCUAACUACGUGCCAGCAGCCGCGGUAAUACGUAGGGUGCAAGCGUUAAUCGGAAUUACUGGGCGUAAAGCGUGCGCAGGCGGUUCGGAAAGAAAGAUGUGAAAUCCCAGAGCUCAACUUUGGAACUGCAUUUUUAACUACCGGGCUAGAGUGUGUCAGAGGGAGGUGGAAUUCCGCGUGUAGCAGUGAAAUGCGUAGAUAUGCGGAGGAACACCGAUGGCGAAGGCAGCCUCCUGGGAUAACACUGACGCUCAUGCACGAAAGCGUGGGGAGCAAACAGG